UACCUGCAGCUCAAGUGGUGGCCGCUAUUAUUGGGCCUAAAACGUCCGUAGCCGGUUUCAUAAAUGCCUGGGUAAAUCAUACGGCUUAACCGUAUGAAUUCCGGGUAGACUGUUUAACUUGAGACCGGGAGAGGCUAGAGGUACUCCUGGGGUAGAGGUGAAAUUCUGUAAUCCUAGGGGGACCACCAGUGGCGAAGGCGUCUAGCUAGAACGGGUCUGACGGUGAGGGACGAAGCCCUGGGGAG
Molecule: ribosomal RNA, 245 nt
Filed under: uncultured Methanomassiliicoccus sp.
Lineage: Archaea; Methanobacteriati; Thermoplasmatota; Thermoplasmata; Methanomassiliicoccales; Methanomassiliicoccaceae
Description: partial 16S ribosomal RNA
Rfam family: Archaeal small subunit ribosomal RNA
Source: RNAcentral